UCCCGCCAAAUUGUAGCUCUUUCGAGCGAGGACGUGCUGACUGAAACACUGCACAGAGACGGGCAAGCACUCAGAGGCAUUUCGUUUGCCUUGAUCCUGGAGGCGGCCUUCUCCCAUUGCCGAGGAUUUGAAGCGAACUCCUGGCAGAUCAGAAAUGUUCAGGCGAACGGCGGUUAUAUUUGUCUGUGGACCCAAGACUUCGUUGACGGGCAAAUAUGUCAGAUUUUCUUGUUUUUUAUUUGUGGCAUCUUAUUGUAAAGCCGUGACAUAUUUUGCCGUUUUCUCUAGGGAACCCUGCAACAAGGACUGUAGUGUGAAUAGCGUGCUGCGCUGCUCUCGCCAACUGAAAAGAACUCUGGUGUGCUGUAAAUGCCGACUGCACAAUAUGUGACUGGCCCGCGGCUGCUUUGAAGGUAAGAUUGUGUUCUCAUUAAUCUAUUUAUUGUACCAUUUGUUUUCCAGUGACAUAGCCAACAACGAAAACCUCGAUCCAUCCUCUCUCCACAUAUUAUCUAGUUUGUGCGCUGUGGAGCUUGAAGCACUUCUCGGAAUUUCAGCACACUCGCAUUUAUUUUUUUCCCGACAGAAGAAAA
This is a long non-coding RNA of Rhipicephalus sanguineus (brown dog tick), 593 nucleotides long. RefSeq lists it as uncharacterized. NCBI's taxonomy places the organism in Eukaryota, Metazoa, Arthropoda, Arachnida, Ixodida, Ixodidae. The transcript has 4 exons. The record is from RefSeq and is a predicted model, not a curated record.